GGCAAAUCCGUGUCACAUUAAGGCUGAGACUUGAUGCAUACCCGUUGUGGGGAAUUCAGUGAUCCUAUGCUGCCGAGAAAAGCCUCUAGUGAGUUCAUACACGGCCCGUACCCCAAACCGACACAGGUGAUCAGGUAGAGAAUACCAAGGCGAUCGAGAGAACUGUGGUUAAGGAACUCGGCAAAAUGCCCCCGUAACUUCGGGAGAAGGGGGACCAUGCCCGGUGAACAUCUUCACGGUGGGAGCUGGGUGUGGUCGCAGAGACCAGAGAGAAGCGACUGUUUACUAAAAACACAGGUCCGUGCGAAGACGUAAGUCGAUGUAUACGGACUGACGCCUGCCCGGUGCUGGAAGGUUAAGAGGACCGGUUAGCCGUAAGGCGAAGCUGAGAAUUUAAGCCCCAGUAAACGGCGGUGGUAACUAUAACCAUCCUAAGGUAGCGAAAUUCCUUGUCGGGUAAGUUCCGACCUGCACGAAUGGCGUAACGACUUCUCUGCUGUCUCGACCACAGACUCGGCGAAAUUGCACUACGAGUAAAGAUGCUCGUUACGCGCGGCAGGACGAAAAGACCCCGGGACCUUUACUAUAGCUUGGUAUUGGCGUUCGAUUCGGUUUGUGUAGGAUAGGUGGGAGACUGUGAAGCAUGCACGCCAGUGUGUGUGGAGUCGUUGUUGAAAUACCACUCUGAUCGUAUUGGACGUCUAACCUCGGCCCAUGAUCUGGGUUAGGGACAGUGCCUGGUGGGUAGUUUAACUGGGGCGGUUGCCUCCUAAAGAGUAACGGAGGCGCCCAAAGGUUCCCUCAGCCUGGAUGGCAAUCAGGUGUUGAGUGCAAGUGCACAAGGGAGCUUGACUGUGAGACUGACACGUCGAGCAGGGACGAAAGUCGGGACUAGUGAUCCGGCACCGGCAAGUGGAAGCGGUGUCGCUCAACGGAUAAAAGGUACCCCGGGGAUAACAGGCUGAUCUUCCCCAAGAGUCCAUAUCGACGGGAUGGUUUGGCACCUCGAUGUCGGCUCGUCGCAUCCUGGGGCUGGAGUAGGUCCCAAGGGUUGGGCUGUUCGCCCAUUAAAGCGGCACGCGAGCUGGGUUUAGAACGUCGUGAGACAGUUCGGUCUCUAUCCGCCGCGCGCGUAAGAAACUUGAGGAAGGCUGUCCCUAGUACGAGAGGACCGGGACGGACGAACCUCUGGUGUGCCAGUUGUUCCACCAGGAGCAUGGCUGGUUAGCUACGUUCGGAAGGGAUAACCGCUGAAAGCAUCUAAGCGGGAAGCCUGUUCCAAGAUGAGGUUUCUCACCACCUUGCGUGGUUAAGGCCCCCUACAGACCAUGGGGUUGAUAGGCCGGAACUGGAAGCGCAGCAAUGCGUGGAGGUGACCGGUACUAAUAGGCCGAGGGC
RNAcentral lists this ribosomal RNA (1398 nucleotides) under metagenome. Its description in RNAcentral is "bacterial LSU rRNA". It matches the Rfam family "Bacterial large subunit ribosomal RNA", at positions 1535 to 2912 of the family's 2925-position model. The record is from RNAcentral.